This 403-nucleotide ribosomal RNA is filed under the name uncultured bacterium. RNAcentral's name for it is "partial 16S ribosomal RNA". It matches the Rfam family "Bacterial small subunit ribosomal RNA", at positions 30 to 526 of the family's 1533-position model. The record is from RNAcentral.
AUUGAACGCUGGCGGCAGGCCUAACACAUGCAAGUCGAGCGAGCGGCGGACGGGUGAGUAAUGUAUGGGGACUGCCCGAUAGAGGGGGAUAACUACUGGAAACGGUAGCUAAUACCGCAUACUAUCGGAUGACCCAUAUGGGAUUAGCUAGUAGGUGGGGUAAGGGCUCACCUAGGCGACGAUCCCUAGCUGGUCUGAGAGGAUGAGCAGCCACACUGGGACUGAGAAACGGCCCAGACUCCUACGGAGGCAGAAGGGGGGAAUAUUGCACAAUGGGCGCAAGCCUGAUGCAGCCAUGCCGCGUGUAUGAAGAAGGCCCUAGGGUUGUAAAGUACUUUCAGUGGGGAGGCGUUACCGACAGAAGAAGCACCGGCUAACUCCGUGCCAGCAGCCGCGGUAAUAC